AAGCAGUGACUAAGUUUGUGGUCAAAACCUUGCACCCGUUUGCCACAGCAGAUGCAGCAAGGAAUGUAGAUGACAAAUCGUGUUAGGCUGUCACAUUGCCAAGCCUCAGGUGGCAGCAGAAAAUGGAGACACGUCCUGAUUUAAAGUAUCUUUUCUCUAGGUAGCGCUGUGUUUUGAAGAGUUCAGGUCUGAUGGACAGGUCAUUAUUGUCCCACUGUUGUGUCAUCUGUGAUGUGAUGCAGUCAUGUGUCAGCAGCGUGAACAGCAGUGGGCCCAGGACACAGCCCUGAGGGGAGCUGAUGAACAGGGAGAUGGAGCUGGAGAUGUUGUUUCCCACGUUCGCUGAACUAUGUUGGUGGAAAAGUCCAAGCUGGUUUCCAUACAUUCACUCUCCUCAGGGUUUUCCAGACAUCGGCCACAUUAAGAUUCAGUGCUUUAUUUGAUCACUUUGUUUCUCAUUUGCUCCUGAAUUUUCCUUGGAUUGCGGCAUGAUGUCUGGCUUUUGAGGAUCUUUUGGUGUAUUCCACUUUGUCAGGCAGGUCCUGUUUAAGCGAUUUCUUGACAGAGACCAGCUGUGUCAGUUAUCAGGCCUUUCUCCUUUUAGUAAUAAACACCUUCA
Long non-coding RNA from Oreochromis aureus, 619 nucleotides. RefSeq lists it as uncharacterized. The transcript has 4 exons. The record is from RefSeq and is a predicted model, not a curated record. Lineage: Eukaryota; Metazoa; Chordata; Actinopteri; Cichliformes; Cichlidae.